RNAcentral lists this ribosomal RNA (254 nucleotides) under uncultured bacterium. RNAcentral's name for it is "partial 16S ribosomal RNA". It matches the Rfam family "Bacterial small subunit ribosomal RNA", at positions 524 to 776 of the family's 1533-position model. The record is from RNAcentral.
CACGUAGGGGGCAAGCGUUGUCCGGAAUCAUUGGGCGUAAAGAGCUCGUAGGCGGCUCGGUAAGUCGGGUGUGAAACCUCCAGGCUCAACCUGGAGACGCCACCCGAUACUGCUGGGGCUAGAGUCCAGUAGGGGAGUGUGGAAUUCCCGGUGUAGCGGUGAAAUGCGCAGAUAUCGGGAGGAACACCAGCGGCGAAGGCGGCACUCUGGGCUGGUACUGACGCUGAGGAGCGAAAGCGUGGGUAGCAAACAGG